RNAcentral lists this ribosomal RNA (482 nucleotides) under uncultured bacterium. RNAcentral's name for it is "partial 16S ribosomal RNA". It matches the Rfam family "Bacterial small subunit ribosomal RNA", at positions 30 to 507 of the family's 1533-position model. The record is from RNAcentral.
AUUGAACGCUGGCGGCAUGCCUUACACAUGCAAGUCGAACGGUAACAGGUCUUCGGAUGCUGACGAGUGGCGAACGGGUGAGUAAUACAUCGGAACGUGCCCAGACGUGGGGGAUAACGAGGCGAAAGCUUUGCUAAUACCGCAUACGAUCUAAGGAUGAAAGCCGGGGACCGCAAGGCCUUGCGCGUUUGGAGCGGCCGAUGGGAGAUUAGGUAGUUGGUGGGAUAAAAGCUUACCAAGCCGACGAUCUGUAGCUGGACUGAGAGGACGACCAGCCACACUAGAACUGGGACACGGCCCAGACUCCUACGGGAGGCAGCAGUGGGGAAUUUUGGACAAUGGGCGAAAGCCUGAUCCAGCAAUGCCGCGUGCAGGAUGAAGGCCUUCGGGUUGUAAACUGCUUUUGUACGGAACGAAAAGGCUCUGGCUAAUACCUGGGGCACAUGACGGUACCGUAAGAAUAAGCACCGACUAACUACGUG